AGGUAGAGUGGGCUUGUCUGGACAUGUUGGGGUGUAGUUGAUCAGAUGCACGUCCUUCUAUCGCAAGUUCCGCCGCCUGAUAUCGCCCGACGGCAAGUUUUGUCGACUGAUGUCCUCCGACCGCAUGUCCUACGGCUGCGUGUCCUCCUCACUUUCUUCCAGCACUAACUAGGAUUUGGAUGCAGUGUAAGGAGUGCAAGUUCUCGCACCCUAAUCAGGAUAUUCUCCUCAAGCAUUACCGACUUUGCCACUACCGGGGACGCUUCUGGCCACUGCCGUGCCUGUACACUGACUGCUGCUGCACUUUCAAAACAAGCGAUAUAUGCUGAGUUUUUUUGAAUCACUCAAGUGGAUCUAAAGAAGACAUUCUUCACAUCUUUGGAUGCACACGCCUCAAACCUGAUAAAGCUUUACAGAACACGUAGCGGGACACUAGGAAAGGACUUAAAGGCCCUAUUUGACAACCUUGAUGAACAGACAACCAAUGUGCUUGCACAAAGGAAGGCCACAGCUCUCCGAGGUCUACCUCUCUAUUUGAG
This is a long non-coding RNA of Limanda limanda (common dab), 539 nucleotides long. RefSeq lists it as uncharacterized. The record is from RefSeq and is a predicted model, not a curated record. Lineage: Eukaryota; Metazoa; Chordata; Actinopteri; Pleuronectiformes; Pleuronectidae. The transcript has 4 exons.